UCCUGCUCGCUUCUAGCUUCUGCCUCCUCCAUGGCUGUGGCUUUGGUUGCAAGUUUCUCAGCCAUCUUUUUGGUAUGGAGCUUUUAUACCCAGGAGGAGGGGCAAGGAGAUACACAGAUCCCCUUGUGCAGAGAUAUACUGAAAUAUUUCACAAUAUAUUGGUUGAAAAACCAUCUUCACAAUACUUGAAUGAUCAAGAUGAGACUCAGCUCGCACAAAUAAUGAUAUUUUCAUCUGGAAUACUUCAUGCAUAGACAACAACCGAGAUCUCUCAUUGCCUGUAUAAGAUUUCACAAAGGGUUAG
Pantherophis guttatus is the source of this 304-nucleotide non-coding RNA. The record is from RefSeq and is a predicted model, not a curated record. NCBI's taxonomy places the organism in Eukaryota, Metazoa, Chordata, Lepidosauria, Squamata, Colubridae.